RNAcentral lists this ribosomal RNA (253 nucleotides) under uncultured bacterium. Its description in RNAcentral is "partial 16S ribosomal RNA". It matches the Rfam family "Bacterial small subunit ribosomal RNA", at positions 524 to 776 of the family's 1533-position model. The record is from RNAcentral.
UACGUAGGGGGCGAGCGUUGUCCGGAUUUAUUGGGCGUAAAGAGCGUGUAGGCGGUUCGGUAAGUCCGCUGUGAAAGUCGGGGGCUCAACCCUCGAAUGCCGGUGGAUACUGUCGGGCUAGAGUACGGAAGAGGCGAGUGGAAUUCCUGGUGUAGCGGUGAAAUGCGCAGAUAUCAGGAGGAACACCAAUUGCGAAGGCAGCUCGCUGGGACGGUACUGACGCUGAGACGCGAAAGCGUGGGGAGCAAACAGG